GCCUGGGGUGCGAUUGACGCUGAGGCUCGAAAGUGCGGGAAUCAAACAGGAUUAGAUACCCUGGUAGUCCGCACCGUAAACGAUGAAUGCUCGUUCUGGGCGACAGACAGUCCGGGACCGAGGGAAACCAUUAAGCAUUCCACCUGGGGAGUACGCCGGCAACGGUGAAACUCAAAGGAAUUGACGGGGGCCCGCACAAGCGGAGGAACAUGUGGUUUAAUUCGAUGAUACGCGAGGAACCUUACCCGGGCUUGAAAUGUACCUGACGUGGGGCAGAGACGUCCCAUUCCUUCGGGCAGGUAUGUAGGUGCUGCAUGGUUGUCGUCAGCUCGUGCCGUGAGGUGUCGGCUUAAGUGCCAUAACGAGCGCAACCCUUGCUGUCAGUUGCCAUCACGUUUAGGUGGGCACUCUGGCGGGACUGCCAUCGCAAGAUGUGAGGAAGGUGGGGAUGACGUCAAAUCAGCACGGCCCUUACGUCCGGGGCUACACACGUGUUACAAUGGGGGCACAGCGCGCCGCUACCCGGUGACGGGAUGCGAAUCGUGAAAUCCCCUCUCAGUUCGGACUGGAGUCUGCAACCCGACUCCACGAAGCUGGAUU
RNAcentral lists this ribosomal RNA (600 nucleotides) under uncultured bacterium. RNAcentral describes it as "bacterial SSU rRNA". It matches the Rfam family "Bacterial small subunit ribosomal RNA", at positions 727 to 1332 of the family's 1533-position model. The record is from RNAcentral.